AUGGACCUGGACCCCGCCGUCAUCAUCCCCGCCAUCCUCUUCACCGUCGUUGCCAUUUAUUUCGCUACGUCGCUCCUCAGCAGGAAGCCCGACGCCUCCUCCUCGUCUGCCGGGAGCAAGAAGUCCAAACUCGGGUACAGAGACGACCUUCCUCCGCAAGGAGCUCUGGAAGAAGAGCCCGAAGCCUCCCUGCGACCAGAGCCCCCAGCUCCGGCUGUGGAGGACAUAGGAGCCGCCGAGAAGAUCCAGGCUGUCCCAGAACCACAACAUGUCCCUGAACCAGUGAAGAUACCAGAAGCUGAGCCAGAAGCAGCAGAAGAUCCAGAGGACAGAGAAGCAGUCACAGCACCAGAACCUGUGGCACAACCAAAAAAAGUGCCAGAGACAAGAACAGAACGACCACCGGCCCCAGAAGCAGUCCCUGAACCAACAAAAGAGCCAAAGUCUGUUCCAGAACCAGUCACAGUAUCAGAACUUGUCUCUGAAGCUGUGUCAGGCCCAGAACCUGUUCUUGAACCAGAUGAAGCACAAGAAGCAGCACCAGUGUCUGAACCCAUACCAGGCUUGGUAUCAGGCCCAGAACAAGCUGCAGAACCUACCCCAGAGUCCAAACCUGUAGCAGAGCCCUUAUCAGAACCAGCCAGGUCCCCUGAACUCGUAUCUGAACCCAAAACUGUCCCAGAACCUGUUACUGAUCCAGAGCCUGUGCUCGUGUCUGAAGUGGCAGCCCAGAAGCCCGCGACUGAACCUGAAGAACUGCUUGAGCAGAUGCCCGGACCCAAUGAAGGUCUGACAGAACCAUCGCGUGAGCGGGAACCCGAACCAGAGACCGUCCUGGAUGACGAUGUGGCUGCAGCUGCUGAUGUGCUGAACUUCACCCCGGGAAUGAAACAGAGUAAGGUGGCAGUGCUGAUGACCCAGGAGGACAUGGAGGAGGAGCAGAGAGCCGACAGCAGCUGCAGGAGAGACGUCCCUCAUCUGAAGUCUGGGUUUCUUCAGAAGAACAAACAUGUUGAUAAAAGGAAUUAAAUGUGCUGGAGGAACAUAAUUAAAGAACAUCUGUAAUGAUUUGAUUAUUUGAUUCAAUCUGCAAAAUGACGAUAAAAUAAACUCUGAGAAUCAGCUUUCGUGGAACCACAGAAGCAGUCAUGUGAUUCGUUUCAGCUGCAACUUCAAAAGAAAACAGAAAAUGUUACUGGAAUUUAAAACGAGUUGAAGGCAUAUUAAAGCAGUGCGCGUAGCUAUGAUUUUCUUAUUUCUUUCAUUGUGACUGUGGAGUCUCCUCUGUGGGGAGGGUCUGUGUUUGUGUCUCCUGUGGACGUUCGGGUCCAACUCUUGGUUGGGUCCCUGCUGACGCUUCAUGUGGAGAACAUUUAAAACAUGUUUUUGUGUUUUCUGCCCACGAGUGGGCGUGUCCCAACUUUUAAUCGUUUCCUGUCUCUGCAGUGAGAUAUUCUGCAUGAGGUGCCGAUGAUUGAUUAUUGAUCGGUCGAUCCAUGUGACUGACGCGCCUCUCCCCCUGUUUCACGCUCAUUCCUCUGCUGUUGGUCACAUGGUCUGUGUUUACACCCAGCCCGCCGCUCCAGACAGCGGCUGCUUAUCCUCUUAUCAUUAUUGUCCUUCACCGUCUCUUAACAGGAAGUUCAGCCCCGCCCCUUUAACCUCCCAGCAUGCACCAGUGUACCGACUGAGUGUGACCCAGUGUGGACAAAAGGCAGCCGAUGUGGGUCACAUGUUCUCCGAGGGGAUAAGACGUCCAUACAGGAAACACAAAGGAGACGCUCUGCACCUCCAGCUGCAGCAGGAGCGCGCUCAGUGUUGAAAGGGCAGAUUCAUGAGUUUUUAAUCUAAAAGAAAAGAGUGCCGGGGUCACGUGACCACGCUGGGACUGACGUGAGUUUCCCGGGCUCCAGGGUUGGACGAACUCUGGGAGCAUUUUCACAGAAGUGUGAUGGGAACUCUUUGAGUCAUGUGAAGAAUCCAGAUUUUAAGAUCAGGCUUCAUGCUGCAGUCACAGCGUGGACACGUCCUCAGACUCCCCUUCAUGUGGUUCGGCCCUGAUGUGCGCUGCCUUCUUUACCUCAGACAGGUGAGAUGCUCCUCUUCAGUCCAGCCGCUCACCUCAGACAGUCGGCUUUCAUUAGCUCUGUUACCUCUGCAGAUUAAUCCCGUACUUCAGGGCUACUGCCUGUUUAUGGAGGCAGAGGUGUGUUCACCCUGCGACUCGUUACAAUCAUUUGAUUUGGUUUUUAUUCCUGGGACUGUUUUGUAUUUCCUACCAACCCGUCUCUUUGUCCUGGAAGUAUCCGGUUGUCCUUGAUUCAGUCUCCAGCUUUCACACACACAUUUUCCUGACCUGCAUGAACUACUGGAACACUUUGUUGCAGAGGUCACAGUAACUUGAUUUUACUGUUCGUCUCCCUCACAGAUGAGCGGAGCUGCAAACUUUGAGUUCAUCUCAUGAAGCGCUCAAACAAAAAGGCCUGAGAGCAGACGCCCGUCACAGCUGCUGCCUCGUCCGGAGCAGUUUAAUUUCUGGGUGUGGACUUUGAUAUCACUGCUGCUGUGAUUCUAGCAGCGGGCUGCCAGACUUCAUAUCAGCCUCCUGCAGAAACUCGACUGUGCAGCAGACGUCAGCGCAGGGUUACAAUGAUUCGGACGGGAUCGUGGAGGCGCUUAAAGACAUAAAAACAGAGGCUGAAUCAUUUAAGCCAAACAGUUCAGCACAUUAUCCAAAGCACAGGAAACCGUGGCCCAUAAUUAGUGGUUGCUGUUAUGGAGAAAACGAGCAGCGAGGACCUUCGUGUUUGAUGGAGAGUCCUCCGCCUGCGUCUGAGCGGCCGAGCUCAGUUUCUUUUAUGGACUUUUCCAUGAGCCAUGAGCGCCCUCCUCUGGUCAAACACAGCACACAUUUAAAAGAACCAUAAUAAUACAUCUUAUUAAUAUAUCAGCUGUCACACAGUCACAGUCAGCCUGGACCAGGAGACUGAUGGACACCACAAAGUCACCUGUAAACACAAAAGAAGAUCAGAUUGAGAAUAUUAAAAAUAAAACCUGGUUUAAAACUGAAAUGAAGAAUAAAAAUCAUUAAAUACAUGAUGAUUCAUGAUGAUGUGAACUAGAGUGAAUCAGCGGGGAUGGUCGCCUGAUUUAAAUGGCUAAAUUACCUCCUCAACAUGUCCUGAAGUUCUCUCGAGGCCUGGGGUUCCCCACCCCCGUCAUAUGGAGUUCUUUUAUUACACGCCGACUGUGACGAGCAGAGAGCUCGGCGGCGUCAUCGCCAUAUUUGGUAAAAAUUUCUAAACAUUUUAGUGGCACAUGUUCAGGUGCUGUUAAAAUAUAAUAAAGUUUUAUUUUUCCACCUAAAGCAGGGGUGGCCAACCAGUCAGAGACCAACAGCCACUUUUUUUUUACUGUGUUACCGCAAAGAGCCACAUCAUACGCAUGGGCACACAUGAACAUCACCCAUCCUUUCCUCCCCUCUCUCUCUCUCUCUCUCUCUCUCACACACACACACACACACACACACACACACACACACACACACACACACACCUCUGCUCAGCCAGAUUUAUUGUAAAUGUCACACACCAACAUGAUAAUGACAGAAAUGGACUCCUACAGUACUAAAACCACAGGCCAGUCAUUUUCAACAAUGAACGCUGUGUGCACUGUCUCACACACAAACUCUCAGUUCAACCAAGUCCACAAACAAAAAUAUAAUAAUCUACAAUAGCAUUUACUUUUACAAUGCAUGUUGUUUAGUGGGACU
Long non-coding RNA from Oreochromis niloticus (Nile tilapia), 3772 nucleotides. The record is from Ensembl. NCBI's taxonomy places the organism in Eukaryota, Metazoa, Chordata, Actinopteri, Cichliformes, Cichlidae.